UUGCUUUGGCAGCAUAUAUAGUAAAAUUGGAAUGAUACAGAGAAGAUUAGCGUGGCUUCUGCACAAGGAAGAUACACAAAUUUGGAAGUGUUCUAUAUUUUG
Small nuclear RNA from Ursus americanus (American black bear), 102 nucleotides. The record is from Ensembl. NCBI's taxonomy places the organism in Eukaryota, Metazoa, Chordata, Mammalia, Carnivora, Ursidae.